Molecule: ribosomal RNA, 305 nt
Filed under: uncultured bacterium
Lineage: Bacteria
Description: partial 16S ribosomal RNA
Rfam family: Bacterial small subunit ribosomal RNA
Source: RNAcentral
ACAGCAGUAGCCGCGGGAAAACGGAGGGUGCAAGCGUUAAUCGGAAUUACUGGGCGUAAAGCGCACGCAGGCGGUCUGACAAGUCAGAUGUGAAAUCCCCGGGCUUAACCUGGGAACUGCAUUUGAAACUGUCAGGCUGGAGUCUUGUAGAGGGGGGUGGAAUUCCAGGUGUAGCGGUGAAAUGCGUAGAGAUCUGGAGGAAUACCGGUGGCGAAGGCGGCCCCCUGGACAAAGACUGACGCUCAGGUGCGAAAGCGUGGGGAGCAAACAGGAUUAGAUACCCCGGUAGUCCCUGUCUCUUAUAC